RNAcentral lists this ribosomal RNA (497 nucleotides) under uncultured bacterium. RNAcentral describes it as "partial 16S ribosomal RNA". It matches the Rfam family "Bacterial small subunit ribosomal RNA", at positions 28 to 507 of the family's 1533-position model. The record is from RNAcentral.
GACGAACGCUGGCGGCGUGCCUAAUACAUGCGAGUUGAGCGCUGAAGGUUGGUACUUGUACCAACUGGAUGAGCAGCGAACGGGUGAGUAACGCGUGGGGAAUCUGCCUUUGAGCGGGGGACAACAUUUGGAAACGAAUGCUAAUACCGCAUAAAAACUUUAAACACAAGUUUUAAGUUUGAAAGAUGCAAUUGCAUCACUCAAAGAUGAUCCCGCGUUGUAUUAGCUAGUUGGGGAGGUAAAGGCUCACCAAGGCGAUGAUACAUAGCCGACCUGAGAGGGUGAUCGGCCACAUUGGGACUGAGACACGGCCCAAACGCCUACGGGAGGCAGCAGUAGGGAAUCUUCGGCAAUGGACGAAAGUCUGACCGAGCAACGCCGCGUGAGUGAAGAAGGUUUUCGGAUCGUAAAACUCUGUUGGUAGAGAAGAACGUUGGUGAGAGUGGAAAGCUCAUCAAGUGACGGUAACUACCCAGAAAGGGACGGCUAACUACGUG